AACUUUCAGCAACGGAUCUCUUGGCUCUCGCAUCGAUGAAGAACGCAGCGAAAUGCGAUAAGUAAUGUGAAUUGCAGAAUUCAGUGAAUCAUCGAAUCUUUGAACGCACCUUGCGCCCCUUGGUUAUUCCGAAGGGCAUGCCUGUUUGAGUAUCAUGAACACCUCAACUCUUGUGGUUUCCCACAAUGAGCUUGGACUGUGGAGGUUUUGUUGGCCCUGUGGUCAGCUCCUCUCAAAUGGAUCAGCUUACCGGUGUUUGGUGGCAUUACGGGUGUGAUAACUAUCUACGCUCGUGGUCGUCUCCAAAUAACCUCCAGUGAUGGAGGUUCGCUGGAGCUUAUAAAUGUCUCUCCCCAGUGAAGACAGCCUUUGAACGUUCGAUCUCAAAUCAGGUAGGACUACCCGCUGAACUUAAGCAUAUCAAUAA
This 427-nucleotide ribosomal RNA is filed under the name uncultured Thelephoraceae. RNAcentral describes it as "eukaryotic LSU rRNA". The stretch from base 1 to 155 matches the Rfam family "5.8S ribosomal RNA". The record is from RNAcentral. Lineage: Eukaryota; Fungi; Basidiomycota; Agaricomycetes; Thelephorales; Thelephoraceae.